Molecule: long non-coding RNA, 1682 nt
Organism: Struthio camelus australis
Lineage: Eukaryota; Metazoa; Chordata; Aves; Struthioniformes; Struthionidae
Source: Ensembl
UUUCUAGGCCAACAGCAUAUUGCACAAGUAUGCAAACUUGCAUUUUCACCUUGCACAUGUUAAAUUAUUACCUGGACAGCUAGCUCUAAAUUGUUCCACAGCCUUUAAAUGGCCUCUGACUCAAAGCUGCUCUGGCAUCAGAUGGUAGAGUCAACAGUGCUAAGGCAAUUCCCAAGGAAGUGAACAGUUUGAAAGUUCAUAUAAACAGCUGGGGUUUAGCUCACCUCUGCUUUAUUCUAACUCCACGUUGCUGUGAUUCCCCUGAAAUAAGCAGACCUAUCAGGAAGAUCUAAAAUGACACAUGGGUUGAUUCAAGACCAGUGAAAACUAGAAAUAAGAUGCUUUAACCCCCUACCCCCUUUCUGAUGGAUUGCCAUUUCCUGUUGAGCUAAGAAAGGGCAAAGUCAAUGUAAGUGGCAACUUCAGUUUUCUUGACAUUUUUGCAACAAUAUGCAUUUUUUACUGGUGAAGACUGGGAAAAGAAAAGCGCCGUUUUAAAAUCUGAUAAAGACAAAAGCAGUCAGCCAUCUCAGAUAAGAAAUCUGCCAUGUCAGGCCUGUACGUUAGGAAACAGGUAUUUUUGAGCUUCUGAGGAAGGCUAAGGACUGUUCUGUGAGGCUUACGCCGAACAUCCAACACAGUGGUGAUCAGCUACUUAUGGAUGGAGGAAGCUCUAGAAAUAUUUAAUAGGCAAAUUAAUUUUACAUCAGCAAAGAGAAUUUUUUUCCCUCACUCCCCUGCUUUAAUGCAACUUCUCCUUAACAAGCGUAGUCAGACCCUCUAGAAAUGAACCUCAGAGAAACCAGAUUACACUUGUGCUACAUAGGUAACUACAGAAAACUGUCACCUUACGCAAAAAAAAAAAAAGGAAAAGGCUUAUCGAGAAGAACAUCCAAGAAAAAGCUGAAGGCUUUUUACGUGCAGAGGUUCCUCAUCCGCAGUGUGCAUCGCUGGCAUACGAAGCACGCCGGUGGCGCAGACUAGCAGGCGCUCCAGAGAGGUGAGAGAACGUUUCUACAUGAGCCACGACCCGGCUAAUUCCAGCUAGAGGAGGAAGCGUUAGUCUGCGAAUCCAGCUCUGGGCCAGGUACCUGCACUCAGUGAGCCAGCCCAGGGCCUCUUCCCCUGAUACACAGUAGUAAGAUGAAGUAGAGCGUCUCAUGGGUGAAAUGGGUCAUCCUGAGGCUGGUAAAAACAUGGAUUUAAGUGAGCUAAUUUGGAGGGGGGGNNNNNNNNNNNNNNNNNNNNNNNNNNNNNNNAUAGGCUUUGUUUACCCAAGUGUGCCAGAGGAGUGGAGGAGCAGCAUGCCAUAGGCCUUGGGGGGGUCUGAGUGGUGAUCGCAGGCGGGGCUGCUGUAUUUCCGGCCAAGAUCUUUCAGUUAGAAGCACAAACAUGCCAUCGCACUAUGUAAUAGAAAAUACGCUUCCCAGAUGCACUAAGCUAACUUCACAUACAGCCAUCGACUGUCUUACACGGACAGAUUAGGUCAUGUACUUUGGGUAGCACUCGCGUUGUUGUGUGCAUCCUUGGAGAAGCCUAAAAAAAAAUAGGCUUCGGUUCUGCAUGGCUGUACUUCUGCCUGAGAAAAGCAGUCAUGCCCGAGGAACGCACAAACCUUUUGCCCAGAGAUCAGUAAGCCAGGGGCUGCUGUUUCUGCCAUCACCACUGAUAGUAGCCAGACA